CGGCAGGCUUACACAUGCAAGUCGAGGGGUAACAGGUCACUUCGGUGAUGCUGACGACCGGCGCACGGGUGAGUAACGCGUAUGGAACCUACCUGAAACAGGGGGAUAGCGUCCGGAAACGGGGAUUAAUACCCCAUACGAUUCAUUUGUGGCCUCACAAAUGGAUAAAAGCUACGGCGGUUUCAGAUGGUCAUGCGUACCAUUAGUUAGUUGGUGAGGUAAAGGCUCACCAAGGCGAUGAUGGUUAGGGGUCCUGAGAGGGUAGUCCCCCACACUGGUACUGAGACACGGACCAGACUCCUACGGGAGGCAGCAGUGAGGAAUAUUGGUCAAUGGGCGCUAGCCUGAACCAGCCAUGCCGCGUGCAGGAAGACGGCCCUACGGGUUGUAAACUGUUUUUCUGCAGGAAGAAUAUAUAGUCUUAGGGCUAUAUUGACGGUACUGCAGGAAUAAGCAUCGGCUAACUCCGUGCCAGCAGCCGCGGUAAUACGGAGGAUGCAAGCGUUAUCCGGAUUCAUUGGGUUUAAAGGGUGCGCAGGCUGUAAAGCAAGUCAGUGGUGAAAGCCCUGGGCUUAACUCAGGGAUUGCCAUUGAAACUGUUUUACUAGAGUGUAGUAGAGGACGGCGGAAUGAGUUGUGUAGCGGUGAAAUGCAUAGAUAUAACUCAGAACACCUAUUGCGUAGGCAGCUGUCUAUACUACAACUGACGCUGAGGCACGAAAGCGUGGG
This 729-nucleotide ribosomal RNA is filed under the name uncultured organism. Its description in RNAcentral is "bacterial SSU rRNA". It matches the Rfam family "Bacterial small subunit ribosomal RNA", at positions 40 to 765 of the family's 1533-position model. The record is from RNAcentral.